AGAGUAAUAAUAUUUUGCAAAGCUUCCUAUCAACUUCAAAGUGAACUGGUUAGCCGUUGGAUGAUUUGAAGACGUAGAGAACACACGUUGGGUGCAGUGUACCAUUGAAUUUGAUGUAGACCAUCCAAGCUUAUCCUCCUUUACUCCCUAGAAGGCAUACUCUACUCAAGAGCAGUCCAAAAAUACAUGUACACAACCAAAACUUCUUGAUGACAGUAUGCACGAAGUGGAUUUAGUGGGGGUUCUGUGAUGAAAUCAACAUGAUAGAAAACAUGGGAUUUGAUGUUUACACGAUUACUUGCCUGCAAAGUAGGGGCAAGAUUAGUGGGAGAUUAACACAAGUAGGGUUGGGGACAUGAAUCACCAUGCUGCCAAUCAAUCAGAUCGAUUUGGAAGGUUCUCGAACCCGUCCAUACCUAAUUACGCAGCUACCGUGAGAUCCGUGCUUCCUUGACUGGAGACGACGAUGAACCUUCCAGAUCAGGGAGGAUAUGGGUCAUUUUCUUCCAGAUCGAUUGCAGCACGAUGAACCUUCUUCAAGUCCACGACAGGAAAAUGAUAGAGGAGAGGAGACAUGUAGAAGCGGGGGAAGAGGAAAGGCGGCGAU
Molecule: long non-coding RNA, 607 nt
Filed under: Triticum aestivum (bread wheat)
Lineage: Eukaryota; Viridiplantae; Streptophyta; Magnoliopsida; Poales; Poaceae
Description: long non-coding RNA (TAES_LNC001384)
Source: RNAcentral